Non-coding RNA from Acanthosepion pharaonis, 114 nucleotides. Lineage: Eukaryota; Metazoa; Mollusca; Cephalopoda; Sepiida; Sepiidae. The record is from the annotation of a GenBank genome assembly.
AUACGGCCAUAUCACUUUGAAUCACCAGUUCACGUACGAUCACUGAAGUUAAGCAACGUCGAGCCUAGUCAGUAUCUAGAUGGGUGACCGCUUCGGAAUACAAAAUGCUGUAAG